Cordylochernes scorpioides is the source of this 67-nucleotide non-coding RNA. The record is from the annotation of a GenBank genome assembly. NCBI's taxonomy places the organism in Eukaryota, Metazoa, Arthropoda, Arachnida, Pseudoscorpiones, Chernetidae.
UCCAGGGUAGCCUAGUGGACAUGGCAUCUGUCCGGUAAGCGUGCGAGUUCGAUUCCUAUCCCUGGAA